RNAcentral lists this ribosomal RNA (484 nucleotides) under uncultured bacterium. Its description in RNAcentral is "partial 16S ribosomal RNA". It matches the Rfam family "Bacterial small subunit ribosomal RNA", at positions 30 to 507 of the family's 1533-position model. The record is from RNAcentral.
AUUGAACGCUGGCGGCAGGCCUAACACAUGCAAGUCGAGCGGAUGAAGGGAGCUUGCUCCUGGAUUCAGCGGCGGACGGGCGAGUAAUGCCUAGGAAUCUGCCUGGUAGUGGGGGAUAACGUCCGGAAACGGGCGCUAAUACCGCAUACGUCCUGAGGGAGAAAGUGGGGGAUCUUCGGACCUCACGCUAUCAGAUGAGCCUAGGUCGGAUUAGCUAGUUGGUGGGGUAAAGGCCUACCAAGGCGACGAUCCGUAACUGGUCUGAGAGGAUGAUCAGUCACACUGGAACUGAGACACGGUCCAGACUCCUACGGGAGGCAGCAGUGGGGAAUAUUGGACAAUGGGCGAAAGCCUGAUCCAGCCAUGCCGCGUGUGUGAUGAAGGUCUUCGGAUUGUAAAACACUUUAAGUAGGGAGGAAGGGAAGUAAGUUAAUACCUUGCUGUUUUGACGUUACCAACAGAGAAAGCACCGGCUAACUUCGUG